Molecule: long non-coding RNA, 563 nt
Organism: Salvia miltiorrhiza (redroot sage)
Lineage: Eukaryota; Viridiplantae; Streptophyta; Magnoliopsida; Lamiales; Lamiaceae
Exons: 3
Source: RefSeq, a predicted model, not a curated record
UUAUGUAAAUAUAUUUUUUGCCAACACGUUCUGCACCCUUUUACAGCAUUCACGAAAUUUCAAACUCUUUCAAUCGUCUUCUUCUCACGUCUCUUUCAACAGUGGUAUGAAUUCUGAAAAUUUGGAUUAAACGCCAUUCUUUUCAAAUAGUUUGCUUCAGGUGCGGCGCAACUAGGAGCCUCGUCUGAAAAUUGAUUGAGUUUCUUUUGUUGUCGUGGAUAUUGAGGUCAGUGAUUUUGGAGCGGCGUGGCGGAAUGGGUGUGGUGAAGUUAAUUUCGUACUUUUGGUUCCGCUUUGAACGUUAGACUUUAAAUUCGUUAAUUUUCUUUGAGUCAUUUUGAGGUUAAGCAUGCUUUUAUUUUAUGAAGGUUUUUGGUAGUUGGUUUAAAUUUUUUUUUUAUUGGUGAACGAUGAACUUGACGUAGACGUAUUUAGUCGUUUAAGGCUUCGUAGACGAUUUUCUGCAGCUGAACUCGUUUUGUCGAUUUGGUGUUUAAAUUGGUUAAAACGAAGUCGUAUUUUUGGUUCGUUUACUUUUAUGAAAUUGGAAGUUUAAAUUAAAA